RNAcentral lists this ribosomal RNA (301 nucleotides) under uncultured bacterium. Its description in RNAcentral is "partial 16S ribosomal RNA". It matches the Rfam family "Bacterial small subunit ribosomal RNA", at positions 509 to 809 of the family's 1533-position model. The record is from RNAcentral.
CAGCGCCGCGGGAAUACGAGGGGGGCAAGCGUUGUUCGGAAUUAUUGGGCGUAAAGGGUGCGUAGGCGGCUUGACAAGUCUUGUGUGAAAUCUAUGGGCUCAACCCAUAGUCUGCACGGGAAACUGUCGGGCUUGAGAAUGGGAGAGGUGAGUGGAAUUUCCGGUGUAGCGGUGAAAUGCGUAGAUAUCGGAAGGAACACCUGUGGCGAAAGCGGCUCACUGGACCAUUUCUGACGCUGAUGCACGAAAGCUAGGGGAGCAAACAGGAUUAGAUACCCGGGUAGUCACUGUCUCUUAUACA